CCUACGGGUGGCUGCAGUGGGGAAUUUUGGACAAUGGGGGCAACCCUGAUCCAGCCAUGCCGCGUGCGGGAAGAAGGCCUUCGGGUUGUAAACCGCUUUUAGCCGGGAAGAGAAGGCGGGGGCUAACACCCUCUGUUUUUGACGGUACCGGCGGAAUAAGCACCGGCUAACUACGUGCCAGCAGCCGCGGUAAUACGUAGGGUGCGAGCGUUGAUCGGAAUUACUGGGCGUAAUGCGUCAAGAGGCGGUUGAAAGCCCCGGGCUCAACCUGGGAACGGCAUUGGAAACUGGCGGGCUGGAGUGUGGCAGAGGGGGGUGGAAUUCCGCGUGUAGCAGUGAAAUGCGUAGAGAUGCGGAGGAACACCGAUGGCGAAGGCAGCCCCCUGGGCUGACACUGACGCUCAGGCACGAAAGCGUGGGGAGCAAACAGGAUUAGAUACCCUAGUAGUC
Molecule: ribosomal RNA, 450 nt
Filed under: uncultured bacterium
Lineage: Bacteria
Description: partial 16S ribosomal RNA
Rfam family: Bacterial small subunit ribosomal RNA
Source: RNAcentral